Gossypium raimondii (Peruvian cotton) is the source of this 155-nucleotide non-coding RNA. NCBI's taxonomy places the organism in Eukaryota, Viridiplantae, Streptophyta, Magnoliopsida, Malvales, Malvaceae. The record is from Rfam.
UAUUAAAACUUUCAUCCAUUUGUACUAUUAAAAAUUGACAUGACUAUCGAAAUAAUUAGAAAUAAUUAGACAAUAACAUGUGAUAUAUCAUGUAUAUUUCAUGCUGACAUACAAAGACCAAUAUUUAACAAUAAAAAUGAACGAAAUUUUUAACA